GCCGACGUAGCUCAGUGGUAGAGCAGUGCUUUCGUAAAGCAAAGGUCGGCGGUUCAAAUCCGCCCGUCGGCUCCA
This 75-nucleotide transfer RNA is filed under the name Candidatus Berkelbacteria bacterium. RNAcentral describes it as "tRNA-Thr". It matches the Rfam family "tRNA". From Rfam's summary of the family: Transfer RNA (tRNA) molecules are approximately 80 nucleotides in length. Their secondary structure includes four short double-helical elements and three loops (D, anti-codon, and T loops). The record is from RNAcentral. Lineage: Bacteria; Candidatus Berkelbacteria.